RNA transcript from Salvia hispanica, 1873 nucleotides. It is a transcript of the gene named protein PEP-RELATED DEVELOPMENT ARRESTED 1, chloroplastic, with no coding region annotated. The record is from RefSeq and is a predicted model, not a curated record. Lineage: Eukaryota; Viridiplantae; Streptophyta; Magnoliopsida; Lamiales; Lamiaceae.
GGUUGAGUUGAAGCAUGGCGUAUGCCGGAGUUCCCUCCACCGCCUUUUCCUCCGUUUGUGUUACAAAUUCACACCAAUCUAUUUUCCGGAGAAGCUAUUACCUUAAACACACCCCUUCACGCUCUAAUUUCCCAUCUCUCUCCGCUACUCAUGCCGGCGCCACCAUCAACGGCGAUGAUACUUCUAAGGGACCAGGAGAGGAAAAAUGGGAUGCUUCUCAGUACCAAGCCUUGCUCAAAGGUGGAGAGCAGGUCACCUCUGUUCUUGAAGAGAUGAUUAAGCUCUUGGAGGAUAUGAACAUGGAUGAAGCAUCUGAGGAGGUGGCAGUCCAAUUGGCUGCACAGGGAGUCAUUGGCAAGAGAGUUGAUCAGAUGGAGUCGGGGUUUAUGAUGGCUCUCGAUUACAUGAUACAGCUUGCUGCACGGGAUGAAGAUGAUAAGAGGAAGUCACUCUUGGAGGUUAUUAAGGAGACUGUACUAUCUCAUCUGACGAAAAAAUGUCCUCCUCAUGUUCAAGUUGUUGGCCUGCUCUGCAGAACACCCCAAAAGGAGAGCAGACAGGAAUUAUUGAGGCGUGUGGCUGCAGGUGGCGGCGUAUUUCAAGGUGACAAUGGCACAAAAGUUCAUCUUCCAGGGGCCAAUUUGAAUGAUAUAGCUAACCAGGCUGAUGAUCUUCUGGAGACAAUGGAAUCCCGUCCUGUCAUUCCCGAUAGAAAGCUACUUGCAAGGCUUGUUUUGAUCAGAGAAGAAGCCAGGGGCAUGAUGGGUGGUGGAAUACUAGAUGAAAGAAAUGAUCGCGGUCUCAAUACGCUACCUGAACCAGAGGUCAAUUUUUUGGCUAAACUUGUUGCUCUAAGACCAGGAAUAACUGUACGCAACAUGAUAAAAAGUGUAAUGCAAGGAAAGGAUGAAGGUGCAGAUAAUUCUGAUAACCAAGAAGGUGCAGGAAGGGCUAGCAUUACUGGUCGUAAACCUUUACCUGUGCGACCUGGCAUGUUCCUUGAAACUGUUUCCAAGGUAUUGGGUGGUAUAUAUGCAGGAAAUACUUCUGGAAUCACAGCACAACAUCUAGAAUGGGUUCAUCAGAAUACACUGCAAAUUCUUCAAGAAAUCGCAUUCUAGUUCCCUCCGCAGUAAUCGCAUCAGGUCAGUUCUGCAAGCUGAGUGCUCAGUUUCUCCUCAUCACAAGGUUCUAUUAUCCUGUGGAGGUACAGAACUAUGUUAAAACAGGUUGAAAGCCAGUAUCGGUGAUGAAGCCUUGCUUCUCUGACGUGAACUAUAUAUCUCUCUCUGGUUUAAAAAUAUUUUAGCAUGGGAAAAAGGAGUUAAAGGGGUGGUCAUGAAGUGCUGGAAUAUUUUGUGUGUGAUGCAUAAUCUUGCAAUGAUAAAGCAAAUCAGAGGUGAAAUGCUUGUUGAGUUGUAUUGAAUCAGUAGCAAUGAUGACUGAAAUUCGAAAUUGUGGCAACAACCAUGUGUGCUAUUGGGCCUACAUCUGUUGUGGCAGUGAAGAAUCACGGUAACCAUGGACCACCUGAAACAUGGUUUAUGGGAACACUUUGCUAGAAGAGCUCGUCCAUUUACACGGGUCGGGGUCAUACUGUAUUUUUGCAGUGUUUCAUGUUUCAUCUCAUGUUCGUAUAUUCAUUAUUGUAUGCUAUGGGUGGGGAGGAUAUUAUGCUGCAUCUGUUGGGAGUCACCUUCUUCUGCUCUUGGUCUUGGAGCAAAAGGUGAAGCACAUGAUGUUGCAGAGAAAGAGUAAAAGAGAGAAAGCAAAGCACGUGCAUGUUAGUGGUUAAAUAUGCUUGGGAGUGUGUGUAUCAUUGAGCUUUUAAAUAAAUAGUGAAAAUCUUUUUUCAUAAGAUUUCUCAAUCUUA